AUUGAACGCUGGCGGCAUGCCUAACGCAUGCAAGUCGAACGGUAGCAGGCCCUUCGGGGUGCUGACGAGUGGCGGACGGGUGAGGAAUGCAUCGGGAUCUGCCCUGUUGUGGGGGAUAACUUAGGGAAACUUAAGCUAAUACCGCAUACGACCUUAGGGUGAAAGCGGGGGACCUUCGGGCCUCGCGCAGCAGGAUGAACCGAUGUCGGAUUAGCUAGUUGGUAGGGUAAAGGCCUACCAAGGCGACGAUCCGUAGCUGGUCUGAGAGGAUGAUCAGCCACACUGGGACUGAGACACGGCCCAGACUCCUACGGGAGGCAGCAGUGGGGAAUAUUGGACAAUGGGCGCAAGCCUGAUCCAGCAAUGCCGCGUGUGUGAAGAAGGCCUUCGGGUUGUAAAGCACUUUUAUCAGGAAAAGAAAUCCGCUGGACUAAUACUUUGGCGGGAUGACGGUACCUGAGGAAUAAGCACCGGCUAACUUCGUGCCAGCAGCCGCGGUAAUACGAAGGGUGCAAGCGUUAAUCGGAAUUACUGGGCGUAAAGCGUGCGUAGGUGGUUUGUUAAGUCUGCUGUGAAAGCCCUGGGCUCAACCUGGGAAUUGCAGUGGAUACUGGCUAACUAGAGUGCGGUAGAGGGUUGUGGAAUUCCCGGUGUAGCAGUGAAAUGCGUAGAUAUCGGGAGGAACACCAGUGGCGAAGGCGGCAACCUGGACCAGCACUGACACUGAGGCACGAAAAGCGUGGGGGAGCAAAACAGGAUUAGAUACCCUGGUA
RNAcentral lists this ribosomal RNA (773 nucleotides) under uncultured bacterium. RNAcentral's name for it is "bacterial SSU rRNA". It matches the Rfam family "Bacterial small subunit ribosomal RNA", at positions 28 to 792 of the family's 1533-position model. The record is from RNAcentral.